GGAAGGGUGUCUGAGCGGCCGAAAGAGGCGGUCUCGAAAACCGUUAGGCGCUGCAAGGCGCCUCGAGGGUUCAAAUCCCUCCCCUUCCGCCA
RNAcentral lists this transfer RNA (92 nucleotides) under Bacillota bacterium. RNAcentral's name for it is "Firmicutes bacterium (compost metagenome) tRNA-Ser". It matches the Rfam family "tRNA". From Rfam's summary of the family: Transfer RNA (tRNA) molecules are approximately 80 nucleotides in length. Lineage: Bacteria; Bacillati; Bacillota. The record is from RNAcentral. RNAcentral also lists the same sequence under 1 other name.